This 422-nucleotide ribosomal RNA is filed under the name uncultured bacterium. RNAcentral describes it as "bacterial SSU rRNA". It matches the Rfam family "Bacterial small subunit ribosomal RNA", at positions 355 to 774 of the family's 1533-position model. The record is from RNAcentral.
UAAGGAAUAUUGGACAAUGCCCGCAAGGGUGAUCCAGCCAUGCCGCGUGCAGGAAGAAGGCCCUAUGGGUCGUAAACUGCUUUUACACCGGAGAAAACCUCCCCUCGUGAGGGGAGCUGAUAGUAUGGUGAGAAUAAGCAUCGGCUAACUUCGUGCCAGCAGCCGCGGUAAGACGAAGGAUGCAAGCGUUAUCCGGAUUCAUUGGGUUUAAAGGGAGCGUAGGUGGACUGAUAAGUCAGUGGUGAAAUCUUCGAGCUUAACUCGGAAAUUGCCAUUGAUACUGUUGGUCUUGAGUACAGUUGCUGUGGGCGGAAUAUGACAUGUAGUGGUGAAAUACAUAGAGAUGUCAUAGAACACCGAUUGCGAAGGCAGCUCACAAAGCUGUAACUGACACUGAGGCUCGAAAGUGCGGGGAUCAAACA